Long non-coding RNA from Phyllostomus discolor (pale spear-nosed bat), 180 nucleotides. RefSeq lists it as uncharacterized. The record is from RefSeq and is a predicted model, not a curated record. Lineage: Eukaryota; Metazoa; Chordata; Mammalia; Chiroptera; Phyllostomidae. The transcript has 4 exons.
UGGGUGGUAGAAAUCUCAUUUCUAUCUAAACAGAUAAAGACAGCAAGUGGUUCCCCAUCCUUGUCUGUAGCCUCCUGCUAUUCACAGGCCUAAAGAGAAUUCUUAUCACAAGUUGAGUGAUUUCUAGAAGCUCCAAGGUUUCUAAGGGAUUAUUAAGGGAACUUUAAAAACUUGACAAGU